CAAUAGCGUAUAUUAAAGUUGUUGCAGUUAAAAAGCUCGUAGUUGAAUUUUUGCUUGCCGCCGAUGUCGGAACUUCCGUACGUUAGGCGGCGUGCAUCCUUGGGUGGAACCUGUGUGGCAUUAGGUUGUCGUGCAGGGGAUGCUCAUCGUUUACUGUGAAAAAAUUAGAGUGUUCAAAGCAGGCUUACGCCGUUGAAUAUAUUAGCAUGGAAUAAUAAGAUAGGACCUUGGUACUAUUUUGUUGGUUUGCGCACCGAGGUAAUGAUUAACAGGGACAGUUGGGGGUAUUCGUAUUCCAUUGUCAGAGGUGAAAUUCUUGGAUUUCUGGAAGACGAACUACUGCGAAAGCAUUUACCAAGGAUGUUUUCAUUAA
This 373-nucleotide ribosomal RNA is filed under the name uncultured eukaryote. Its description in RNAcentral is "partial 18S ribosomal RNA". It matches the Rfam family "Eukaryotic small subunit ribosomal RNA", at positions 592 to 976 of the family's 1831-position model. The record is from RNAcentral.